GAGGGUAUAGCUCAGUGGUAGAGCGUGUGUUUAGCAUGCAUGAGGCCCUGGGUUCAAUCCUCAGUACCUUCA
This 72-nucleotide transfer RNA is filed under the name Camelus bactrianus (Bactrian camel). It matches the Rfam family "tRNA". From Rfam's summary of the family: Transfer RNA (tRNA) molecules are approximately 80 nucleotides in length. Their secondary structure includes four short double-helical elements and three loops (D, anti-codon, and T loops). Further hydrogen bonds mediate the characteristic L-shaped molecular structure. tRNAs have two regions of fundamental functional importance: the anti-codon, which is responsible for specific mRNA codon recognition, and the 3' end, to which the tRNAs corresponding amino acid is attached (by aminoacyl-tRNA synthetases). tRNAs cope with the degeneracy of the genetic code in two manners: having more than one tRNA (with a specific anti-codon) for a particular amino acid; and 'wobble' base-pairing, i.e. permitting non-standard base-pairing at the 3rd anti-codon position. The record is from Rfam by way of RNAcentral. RNAcentral also lists the same sequence under 1 other name. Lineage: Eukaryota; Metazoa; Chordata; Mammalia; Artiodactyla; Camelidae.